Lathyrus oleraceus (garden pea) is the source of this 620-nucleotide long non-coding RNA. RefSeq lists it as uncharacterized. The transcript has 3 exons. NCBI's taxonomy places the organism in Eukaryota, Viridiplantae, Streptophyta, Magnoliopsida, Fabales, Fabaceae. The record is from RefSeq and is a predicted model, not a curated record.
GGAUACAAAGAUGAGUCUUUUAUUCUGGCCUCUCAAGCUAGACAAGUGUUCUAUGUCAAUGAUCCGAAAAGUACGAAAUGGUCUAUAGUUCUUUUUUCCAACAAAGUAAUUGAUGAAAACACUGGAGAUCAAGGUGAUAUUGAUGUUGAGAUUGAAUCGUUUACCAGAAAUGAUCAAGAUGAGAAUAUUAUAUCAAAUGAUUCAUAUAUUAGAAAUGAUCAUAAUGAGGGUAUUUGGAUCAAUCCAACCGUCCGUGUUGUUAAGAGACAUGUAGAACAUAUUCCAACCAAGAAAAGAAAGAGAACUUAGUGAAAAAGGUAAAAUGGCUAUUAUGAAGUCAAUCAUUCGUGCAAGAGACAAGGGUGUAAAAUUUGAAGUACAUUGGAGUGCUGAAGACCAACUAAUUUUUUUUCAUCAGGCUUGUGUCUCAAUAGAGGAUGGGUAUCUACCUAAAGUUACUUUUGUAGUGGUCCAAAAGAGACAUCACACCCGUCUCUUUCCUGUCAACCCCAAAGAGACCGAUAGAAGUGGAAAUAUUAUGCCAGGAACCGUGGUAGACACCAGCAUUUGUCACCCUAGGGAAUUUGAUUUUUACCUUAACAGCCAUGCAGGAAUUCAGG